RNAcentral lists this unclassified non-coding RNA (223 nucleotides) under Hevea brasiliensis (rubber tree). The record is from RNAcentral. Lineage: Eukaryota; Viridiplantae; Streptophyta; Magnoliopsida; Malpighiales; Euphorbiaceae.
GAGAAUGCUAAGAAGCCAUUCCAAGGUUUUUGGUCUAAUUCUUGAUCACCUUUGGUUAUUGGGUGUAAUCAAAGCAACAAAUCCACACUGGUUAUUUUUCUGAAUCUGUGUGCUUCAUAAGUGGUUUUCUUUUUCAUAAUCUGUAUGCUUGCUUUACUUUUUUUUUAAUUGAAGGGUUUAUACUACUGGCUAUUGUCUCACUCUUAAGAUUUGGUUACGGUAG